GGCGACCGGCGCACGGGUGCGGAACGCGUAUGGAACCUGCCCCUGUCAGGGGAAUAGCCCAGGGAAACUUGGAUUAAUGCCCCAUGGUACCGCGAUAUCGCAUGAUAUUGCGGUUAAAGAUUUAUCGGACAGGGAUGGCCAUGCGUACCAUUAGUUAGUUGGUGGGGUAACGGCCCACCAAGGCAGCGAUGGUUAGGGGCCCUGAGAGGGGGAUCCCCCACACUGGUACUGAGACACGGACCAGACUCCUACGGGAGGCAGCAGUGAGGAAUAUUGGACAAUGGGCGGGAGCCUGAUCCAGCCAUGCCGCGUGCAGGAUGACGGCCCUAUGGGUUGUAAACUGCUUUUAUACGGGAAGAAAUGCGCCCACGUGUGGGCGUCUGACGGUACCGUAAGAAUAAGGACCGGCUAACUCCGUGCCAGCAGCCGCGGUAAUACGGAGGGUCCGAGCGUUAUCCGGAAUCAUUGGGUUUAAAGGGUCCGUAGGCGGGCCUGUAAGUCAGGGGUGAAAGUUUGUGGCUCAACCAUAAAAUUGCCUUUGAUACUGCAGGUCUUGAGUCAUGGUGGGGUCGCCGGAACAUGUGGUGUAGCGGUGAAAUGCAUAGAUAUCACAUAGAACACCGAUCGCGAAGGCAGGUGGCCAACCAUGUACUGACGCUGAUGGACG
RNAcentral lists this ribosomal RNA (667 nucleotides) under Flagellimonas ruestringensis. RNAcentral describes it as "bacterial SSU rRNA". It matches the Rfam family "Bacterial small subunit ribosomal RNA", at positions 90 to 755 of the family's 1533-position model. The record is from RNAcentral. Lineage: Bacteria; Pseudomonadati; Bacteroidota; Flavobacteriia; Flavobacteriales; Flavobacteriaceae.